This 340-nucleotide unclassified non-coding RNA is filed under the name soil metagenome. RNAcentral's name for it is "partial contains 5.8S ribosomal RNA, internal transcribed spacer 2, and large subunit ribosomal RNA". The stretch from base 1 to 120 matches the Rfam family "5.8S ribosomal RNA", at positions 35 to 154 of the family's 154-position model. The record is from RNAcentral.
GAUGAAGAACGCAGCGAAAUGCGAUAAGUAAUGUGAAUUGCAGAAUUCAGUGAAUCAUCGAAUCUUUGAACGCACAUUGCGCCCUUUGGUAUUCCAAAGGGCAUGCCUGUUCGAGCGUCAUUUGUACCCUCAAGCUUUGCUUGGUGUUGGGCGUCUUGUCUCUAGCUUUGCUGGAGACUCGCCUUAAAGUAAUUGGCAGCCGGCCUACUGGUUUCGGAGCGCAGCACAAGUCGCACUCUCUAUCAGCAAAGGUCUAGCAUCCAUUAAGCCUUUUUUUCAACUUUUGACCUCGGAUCAGGUAGGGAUACCCGCUGAACUUAAGCAUAUCAAUAAGCGGAGG